UACAGAGGGUGCAAGCGUUGUUCGGAAUUACUGGGCGUAAAGCGUGCGCAGGCGGUUCUCCAAGUCCGUUGUGAAAGCCCCGGGCUCAACCUGGGAAUGGCAGUGGAAACUAGGGGACUGGAAUCUGGCAGAGGGGGGUGGAAUGCCGCGUGUAGCAGUGAAAUGCGUAGAGAUCGGGGGGAACACCUGUGGCGAAGGCGGCCCCCUGGGCCGGCCCUGACACUGAGACGCGAAGGCGUGGGGAGCGAACGGG
Molecule: ribosomal RNA, 253 nt
Filed under: uncultured bacterium
Lineage: Bacteria
Description: partial 16S ribosomal RNA
Rfam family: Bacterial small subunit ribosomal RNA
Source: RNAcentral